This 1181-nucleotide long non-coding RNA is filed under the name Monodelphis domestica (gray short-tailed opossum). Its description in RNAcentral is "lncRNA (ENSMODG00000050296.1)". Lineage: Eukaryota; Metazoa; Chordata; Mammalia; Didelphimorphia; Didelphidae. The record is from RNAcentral.
AUGAUUUUGAUUUCUUUAUCCAAAAACUGAGUUUUCAUACAUUUUAAUUCAUUUCAUAUAUUAGUUUCAGCUAAUGUCUACAGUGGUCCUUUCCAAAAAUGAAGGAUGAACAACAACAGAAAGAAGAAUACAGGUACUUGUGUCUUCCAGGGCUCAUCAUUCUUGGGGGCACUUGCUGCACUUUUGUUCAUGUCUGCCCAUCAUUCCUCUUUAAGGGAGUAUGGAUCUUACUUUCUUGCUUCCUUGUGAGGUCUCACAUGGAGAUCAGCGGAAAACAGUGGCCAUCUGUAUCCAUUGGCUCUUCACUGAUAGCCCAGCUAACCUUUUCUGGUUACAUACCUUUCUGUUGGGAUCCUUUACACUCCUUCUAUGAAGCUGAAAAAGACCCAAGUUCCUUGCUUCCCCCCUUCCUCCUAACCGGCACUUCUGACUUAGUUAAAGGAAUCAAUAAACCUUUGUAAAGUAACAGAAUUCCAGCUGGGAACGAGUUUUUCACCAAAUGUGUAUUUUAUCAGUUUACAAAAACCCACAUCAUGUUCAUUAAAGUUUUAAACUGGAUCCUAAGAGUAAAAUGAAAGGACCUUUUCUCUUAGUGCACAUUAAGGCCUAUAAUCUAAUCUUACUCAUCAUGCCAAAGCCUUGAAAUGAGAUCAAAUACUUUAAAUGAGCUCAAUUAAAAUGUUUUCUUUCCCUGAAUGCCAGGGUGUGGGCAGGGUGGUGGGAAUGAUGGGAACCCUGCAGAGAUCAAAACAUACUCUGCCAACUGCCACACUCCCCAAACUGGAGACUAAUAAGAACUGUUACUUUUCUUCCCUAUUGCUGUCACAGAUAAAUGAAAAGUAUUUGUGAAUCAUAUCAGAAUCAUAGAAUUUGGGAGUUGGAAGAGACCUCAGCAGUGGGCUAAACCAACCCAUACACAAAAGGAAUCCCUACUGAAACAUAACCAACAAGAAAGUAAUUGUUUAGUUCAGCCUUUGCUUAAAGACCUCCAAGGAGGGGUAGGGAGCCCACCACCUCUUAGGCCUUUCUACCUUUGGAGAGUUAGAAUAUAACACAGCCCUUCAAAUACUUGAAGACAGCUAUCUUUUCUCCAGAUUACUAAGCCAUUAAUUGCCAUUAAAAAAAGUAAAUUUUAUUUGUGAUUUUGCUAUGAAUAAAAACCUACUUUAUCUCCUCCCUCA